RNAcentral lists this ribosomal RNA (292 nucleotides) under uncultured bacterium. RNAcentral's name for it is "partial 16S ribosomal RNA". It matches the Rfam family "Bacterial small subunit ribosomal RNA", at positions 505 to 796 of the family's 1533-position model. The record is from RNAcentral.
GUGUCAGCCGCCGCGGUAAUACGUAGGUGGCAAGCGUUGUCCGGAUUUAUUGGGUUUAAAGGGUGCGUAGGCGGUUUUCUAAGUCAGCAGUGAAAUACGGCAGCUCAACUGUCGAGGUGCUGUUGAUACUGGGGAACUUGAGUACUGAUGAGGUAGGCGGAAUGGACGGUGUAGCGGUGAAAUGCUUAGAGAUCGUCCAGAACACCGAUAGCGAAGGCAGCUUACUAAGGAGUAACUGACGCUGAGGCACGAAAGUGUGGGGAUCAAACAGGAUUAGAUACCCGGGUAGUCC